AUUGAACGCUGGCGGCAUGCCCUACACAUGCAAGUCGAACGGCAGCACGGGAGCAAUCCUGGUGGCGAGUGGCGAACGGGUGAGUAAUAUAUCGGAACGUGCCCAGUCGUGGGGGAUAACGUAGCGAAAGCUACGCUAAUACCGCAUACGAUCUAUGGAUGAAAGCGGGGGAUCGCAAGACCUCGCGCGAUUGGAGCGGCCGAUAUCAGAUUAGGUAGCUGGUGAGGUAAUGGCUCACCAAGCCGACGAUCUGUAGCUGGUCUGAGAGGACGACCAGCCACACUGGGACUGAGACACGGCCCAGACUCCUACGGGAGGCAGCAGUGGGGAAUUUUGGACAAUGGGCGCAAGCCUGAUCCAGCAAUGCCGCGUGCGGGAUGAAGGCCUUCGGGUUGUAAACUGCUUUUGUACGGAACGAAACGGCGAGCUCUAAUACAGUUUGCUAAUGACGGUACCGUAAGAAUAAGCACCGGCUAACUACGUGCCAGCCGCCGCCGUAA
RNAcentral lists this ribosomal RNA (500 nucleotides) under uncultured bacterium. RNAcentral describes it as "partial 16S ribosomal RNA". It matches the Rfam family "Bacterial small subunit ribosomal RNA", at positions 30 to 523 of the family's 1533-position model. The record is from RNAcentral.